CAAAUGUGACAGUGAUUGUGUGUACGUGAUGACAUGAUUAUAUCACACGAGAUUGUAACACUUGCCUUGCUGGCAUCUCUCACUCUCUUGCUGGCUUUGAAGAAGCAAGCUGCCAUGUUGUGGCUGCCUUUGUUGGAAGGUGAUGUGGCAAGGAACUGAGGACGGCCUCUAGGAGCUGAGGAUGGACUCCAGCUGACAGCCAGCAAGACACAGAAGCCUUCCAUCCUAAAGCUGUAAGGAACGGAAUCCUGCUAACAAAAGUGAUCCUUCCCCAGACGAGCCUCAGAUGAGGUGGAGCCCCGACCGACACCUUGAUUGCAGCCUUGUGAGACCCUACGCAGAGGACCCAGUCUGUGCCCAGACUCCUGACCCACAGAAACUGAGGUCCUGUCCACUCUCAAGAGGAAGGAAUUACAUAGGAUGUGUAUACCAGCGGGCAGAACUCUGGGGGGCCAUCUUAGAAUUCUGCCUACCACGGGGCUGUGGGAUUAAAUAAGAUACUGUGUGUAAAACGCUUAGCUCAGUGCCUGGCCCAGAGAAAGACGCAAUAAGUGGUAGUCAUAGUCACCACCAUCAAUACGCAUAGUAGACAAAAUAAUGGCCCCCCAAAGAUGUCCUUGGAAUCUGUCAAUAUGUUAUGCUACGUGGCAAAGAAAAUGAAGGCUGCAGACGGAAUCAAGCUGGCUAAUCAGCUGACCUUAAAAUCGGGAAAUCAUCCUGGAUUUGCUCCUUAUGGAACCACAAGGGUCCUUCAAAGUGGAAGAGUGAGGCAGAAGAAGAGUCAGAACCAGAGAGAUGGCAGCAUGAAAAGACUUGGCCCAACGUUGCUGGCUUUCAAAAUGGAAGAAGAGGACCACGAGCCAAGGAAUGUGGGCGGCAAGGAAUGUGGCCAAGCUGGAAGGGGAGAGGAAUAGAUUUUCCCCUGGAGCCUCCAGGAAAGAAUGCAAGCCUGCUGUCACCUUGACUGUAGCCCGGCGAGACCUGUUUCAGACUUUGGACGUCCAGAACUGGCUACAGAAAAAGAUUAAAAUGACAGAGUUCAGGGUGCAUAUUGAUUCAUUGGCCAUUUAUAAAAGCCGGUUGAGAAACUGUGAAGUGGAGAAUCUGAAAUGGAGUAGGUGACAGUCUUCCUAUGGCCACUUUGCUCGGUCUGGGUGUAUGUGGUGUGAGGCCUAUGGAGGACGAAGACAGAGCAGAGCACUUCCAAAGGAGACUGACAUGAACGG
This 1226-nucleotide long non-coding RNA is filed under the name Equus caballus (horse). RNAcentral describes it as "lncRNA (ENSECAG00000046863.1)". Lineage: Eukaryota; Metazoa; Chordata; Mammalia; Perissodactyla; Equidae. The record is from RNAcentral.